Molecule: long non-coding RNA, 423 nt
Organism: Magallana angulata
Lineage: Eukaryota; Metazoa; Mollusca; Bivalvia; Ostreida; Ostreidae
Exons: 3
Source: RefSeq, a predicted model, not a curated record
CAACCGAUUGGUGGAUUGUUGCUCGUAGACAGUAUAAAAGACCAUCAUCUCCAGUCGACUGUUAUCUGCAUUAUCAAAAUGGGAAAGGUUAUCGUUGCUUUGCUUCUUCUUGCUUGCUUGGUAGCCAUCUCCUCGGCCAACUGGAGUGGCAACCAUUGCAGCUAUCGGCCUUGCAACCCAUGGUUUCCAUUUCCAUACCAGUGUGGCUAUUUUGAACAAUGCACCCAAUAUGGAUACUGUUGUAGCUACUACAGAGGAGGUUAUGGCUAUCGCUAAUAUUGACAAUACUAAGUCGACGAAAAUCAGACAUCUGAAAAAUGUCAACAUGCAGGCUGUACUGCUGACAAUGAAUCAUCAUACUCAUAUUCCUAGCAGCUCAAAUAAAAGAUGUCAAAUUACUCUUGGAUAAAGAAAUCUUCAGUU